ACACGUUGAAGUUGAAGUUUGAAGUUGAAGUUUAUUUCUUUCUUUGUUACAGAAGGAGGAACAAGAGGUAAAGGCCAUGUGGCCUGACAGAGGCUCUUGCUCCUAAGCGCGUUCGGCAAACAUAUUCAAAGCAAAUACAGCACAAAAAAUGUGGAAUAAUUUGCAAAGAAACGAUUGGGGUCAUCCGCAUACAUUAUGAUAUUAGAGUAAAAGCACUUCAAGCCAUACGGGUUCACUUUUUGGUGGAAGCAUUUGAAGUACCUAGAGCAGCUACUUGUGGCCUGAAGCAUCCAAACAACAGGGUGAUAUGACCUUAGCCUGCAGCAAAAUGAUAAUAAAAAGCCAUAAAUUCCUAGUAGCUGAAUCAUGAAAUGCUUAAGUUGUGCAUGUUUACAUGUUUUCUGAUCUAAUUUGUACACCAGAUCUAAUUUGUAGCUUUUCCUUUAGAUGUCUAAUAAAAUGAAUGAGCUUUCACGUUACUACUUAUUUAAUUGAAAUUUGUUGCAUGCUCAACAGUGUUUGUUGUGAUAGUCAAUAUGUAAACAAGGUGUGGAAAAGUUUAUUUAGGUGCCUUGGGCAAGUCCUCAACAGCAAGUUUUAACAAUUGUAGUGAAAUUAACUUGGUAUUAUUUUUAUCCCUCAAAUAUGUCCCACCUUUUCAUACCCAUUUCAUGCAUCUA
Dermacentor silvarum is the source of this 680-nucleotide long non-coding RNA. RefSeq lists it as uncharacterized. NCBI's taxonomy places the organism in Eukaryota, Metazoa, Arthropoda, Arachnida, Ixodida, Ixodidae. The transcript has 3 exons. The record is from RefSeq and is a predicted model, not a curated record.